RNA transcript from Cebus imitator (Panamanian white-faced capuchin), 1016 nucleotides. It is a transcript of the gene named cytochrome b-c1 complex subunit 8-like, with no coding region annotated. The record is from RefSeq and is a predicted model, not a curated record. The transcript has a single exon. Lineage: Eukaryota; Metazoa; Chordata; Mammalia; Primates; Cebidae.
AUGGGCCACUAGUUUGGGAAUCUGACGUGGAUGCGGCAUGUGAUCUCCUACAGCUUGUCACCUUUCAGAGCAGCGCCCCUUCCCUCAUGUCUUCUCUAAAGGAAUUCCCAACGUGCUGAGCCGCACUCGGGAGCCUUUCCUUUGCAUGGUGCGGCCGUUUGUAGUGUUUUUUCUUAUCUACAAUUCGGGAACUCAAGAGUGAGAGAUCCAAGAGGAAGAAUCCAGCUGCCUAUGAAAAUGACAAAUGAGCAAUGCAUCCUAAUGACAGUUCUGGAAGAGGAAUCUGCAUUAUCUCUUUUAAAGACACAAUAAACUUCCUGUGGUCUGCAAAAAAAAAAAAUAAAUAAAUACACACACAUAUAUACGUAUAGAUAUAAUAUUCGAAGAAGCUAUUCAAAGAAAAAUGCCCUCUUAAGCUUAUUUUUAGUUAUUUCCAUAGGCUAAUGGUUUUUAACUCCUUGUGAGAUUUAAGGACAAUGAGAGAUGACAAAAAAACUUUAGUGACAAUAUAUUUUAGCAAUCGCCUCCCAAAGUGCUGGGAUUACAGGCAUGAGCCACCGUGCCCAGUCUGGCUCUGGCUCUGUCAUUCUUAAAAUAUUUUCAAGCUAGGAGUCUGCCGGAUCGGUGACUGCGGAGGGCUAAGUGACCCCUGGCCACCGCCACCAUGGGCUGCGAGUUUGGGAAUCUGACGGCGGAUGCGGCAUGUGAUCUCAUAACAGCUUGUCACCUUUCAGAGCAGCGUGCCUUCCCACACGUCUUCUCUAAAGGAAUCCCCAACGUGCUGCGCCACACUCGGCCUUUGCGUGGUGAGGCCGUUUGUAGUGUUUUAUCUUAUCUACACAUGGGGGACUCAAGAGUUUGAGAGAUCCAGGAGGAAGAAUCCAGCUGCCUAUGAAAAUGACAAAUGAGCAUCACAUCCAAAUGGCGGUUCCUGUUUCUGAAAGACCUUUCCCUUGACAAGGAGUCUGCAUUGUCUCUUAAAGACACAAUAAACUUCCUAUGAUCCGCAAAAAAAA